This 26-nucleotide non-coding RNA is filed under the name Mus musculus (house mouse). The record is from RNAcentral. Lineage: Eukaryota; Metazoa; Chordata; Mammalia; Rodentia; Muridae.
UACCGUGGUGUUCAGCUCUGCAGCCC